RNAcentral lists this ribosomal RNA (577 nucleotides) under uncultured delta proteobacterium. RNAcentral describes it as "bacterial SSU rRNA". It matches the Rfam family "Bacterial small subunit ribosomal RNA", at positions 56 to 605 of the family's 1533-position model. The record is from RNAcentral. Lineage: Bacteria; Deltaproteobacteria.
UGCAAGUCGUACGAGAACUCUUCUGCUUGCAGAAGAUAGUAAAGUGGCGCACGGGUGAGUAACGCGUGGGUAAUCUGCCUCUGAAUCGGGGAUAACCCGCCGAAAGGCGAGCUAAUACCGGAUAAUAUCUUUAAAACUUCGGUUUUUAAGAUCAAAGGUGGUCUCUACAUGUAAGCUACUGUUUGGAGAUGAGCCCGCGUACCAUUAGCUUGUUGGUAGGGUAAUGGCCUACCAAGGCCGCGAUGGUUAGCUGGUCUGAGAGGAUGAUCAGCCACACUGGAACUGACACACGGUCCAGACUCCUACGGGAGGCAGCAGUGAGGAAUUUUGCGCAAUGGGGGAAACCCUGACGCAGCAACGCCGCGUGAGUGAUGAAGGCUUUCGGGUCGUAAAGCUCUGUCAAGUGGGAAGAACCUGCUAGAUAUUAAUACCAUCUAGCACUGACGGUACCACUAAAGGAAGCACCGGCUAACUCCGUGCCAGCAGCCGCGGUAAUACGGGGGGUGCAAGCGUUAUUCGGAAUUAUUGGGCGUAAAGGGCGCGUAGGCGGUCUCUAAAGUCAGAUGUGAAAGCCCGG